AGUCUGACGGAGCAACGCCGCGUGAGUGAAGAAGGGUUUCGGCUCGUAAAACUCUGUUGUUAAGGAGGAAUGACAGGUAGAGUAACUGCUACCUGUGUGACGGUACUUAACCAGAAAGCCACGGCUAACUACGUGCCAGCAGCCGCGGUAAUACGUAGGUGGCAAGCGUUAUCCGGAAUUAUUGGGCGUAAGGCGCGCGUAGGCGGUCUUUUAAGUCUGAUGUGAAAGCCCCCGGCUCAACCGGGGAGGGUCAUUGGAAACUGGGAGACUUGAGUGCAGAAGAGGAGAGUGGAAUUCCAUGUGUAGCGGUGAAAUGCGCAGAGAUAUGGAGGAACACCAGUGGCGAAGGCGGCUCUCUGGUCUGUAACUGACGCUGAUGUGCGAAAGCGUGGGGAUCAAACAGGAUUAGAUACACUGGUAGUCCACGCCGUAAACGAUGAGUGCUAAGUGUUAGGGGGUU
Molecule: ribosomal RNA, 460 nt
Filed under: uncultured bacterium
Lineage: Bacteria
Description: bacterial SSU rRNA
Rfam family: Bacterial small subunit ribosomal RNA
Source: RNAcentral